GACUUUAUAUUCAAUAAAUGAUGUUAAAUUGCAAAUUUAAAGGUAUUAAAUUUAGUUUAAUUAAGGUUU
RNAcentral lists this transfer RNA (69 nucleotides) under Adelges tsugae (hemlock woolly adelgid). Its description in RNAcentral is "tRNA-Cys". The record is from RNAcentral. Lineage: Eukaryota; Metazoa; Arthropoda; Insecta; Hemiptera; Adelgidae.